Molecule: long non-coding RNA, 1103 nt
Organism: Nilaparvata lugens (brown planthopper)
Lineage: Eukaryota; Metazoa; Arthropoda; Insecta; Hemiptera; Delphacidae
Exons: 2
Source: RefSeq, a predicted model, not a curated record
GGAGGAGGAUGAGGAGGAGGAUGAUAGCAGCCAGCAACCAGCUGCAGUGGAAGAUGAUUGCAAUCACAAAAUUAUCUAAUCCCUGGCUACAACAUGAUCUUCAUCAAAGAGGAUGCAUAUGACGAUCAAGAGGCUGAAGGAAGUGCAGUGAAGAGUGAACCAGAAAUGUGGCCUUCAAACUGCAGAACAUCUGGCCGAGACUAUGCAACAGAAGUGGUGGACUGAAUGAGCAUUCAAUCUCUCCAGUGGAAAAGUGCACUGAGUCAUCUGUGGCUGGUGAACAGACCAAGCUCCACAGCUGUGCUCACUGUAGCUAUAAAACACAAAAUUUUAGUAAUUUGAAAAAACACAUCAGAAAACAUACUGGAGGAAAACCAUUCAGCUGCGAGUUUUGUGACUUCAAAAGUGCUCAGCUAAGUACUUUGAAAACACAUAUCAGAACACAUACUGGAGAAAAACCUUUCAGCUGCGAGUUUUGUGAAUACAAAAGUGCUGAGUUAGGUAGUUUGAAAAAACAUAUCAAAACACAUACUGGAGAAAAACCAUUCAGCUGCAAGUUUUGUGACUUCAAAAGUGCUCAGCUAAGUAAUUUGAAAGCACAUAUCAGAACACAUACUGGAGAAAAACCAUUCAGCUGCGAGUUUUGUGACUUCAAAAGUGCUCAGCUAAGUACUUUGAAAGCACAUAUCAGAACACAUACUGGAGAAAAACCUUCAGCUGCAAGUUUUGUGACUUCAAAAGUGCUCAGCUAAGUAAUUUGAAAGCACAUAUCAGACACAUACUGCAGAAAAACUUUCAGCUGCGAGUUUUGUGAUUACAAAAGUGCUGAGUUAGGUAGUUUGAAAAAACAUAUCAAAGCACAUACUGGAGAAAACCCAUUCAGCUGCGAGUUUUGUGACUUCAAAAGUGCUCAGCUAAGUAAUUUGAAAGCACAUAUCAGACACAUACUGGAGAAAAACCUUUCAGCUGCGAGUUUUGUGAUUACAAAAGUGCUGAGUUAGGUAGUUUGAAAACACAUAUCAAAACACAUACUGGAGAAAAACCAUUCAGCUGCAAGUUUUGUGACUUCAAAAGUGCUCAGCUAAGUAAUUUGAAAGCACAUA